Molecule: ribosomal RNA, 877 nt
Filed under: Esteya floridana (nom. inval.)
Lineage: Eukaryota; Fungi; Ascomycota; Sordariomycetes; Ophiostomatales; Ophiostomataceae
Description: partial large subunit ribosomal RNA
Rfam family: Eukaryotic large subunit ribosomal RNA
Source: RNAcentral
UGCCCUAGUAACGGCGAGUGAAGCGGCAACAGCUCAGAUUUGGAAUCUGGCUCCCCUCGCGGGGGUCCGAGUUGUAAUCUGGAGAGGAUGCUUCUGGCGCGGCGCCCACCGAGUGCCCUGGAACGGGACGCCGGAGAGGGUGAGAGCCCCGUACGGUGGUGCGCCUAGCCUCUGCGAAGCUCCUUCGACGAGUCGAGUAGUUUGGGAAUGCUGCUCAAAAUGGGAGGUAAAUUUCUUCUAAAGCUAAAUACCGGCCAGAGACCGAUAGCGCACAAGUAGAGUGAUCGAAAGAUGAAAAGCACUUUGAAAAGAGGGUUAAACAGUACGUGAAAUUGUUGAAAGGGAAGCGCCCGUGGCCAGACUUGCGCGCCGGCGGACCACCUAGCGUUCCUCGCUGGGGCACUCCGCCGGCCGCAGGCCAGCAUCGGCUUCGCCAGGGGGACAAUGGCGGCUGGGAACGUGGCUCCCCCCUCUGGGGGGAGUGUUAUAGCCCGCCGCGCCAUGCCCCUGGGGAGGCCGAGGACCGCGCCCCUCGUGGGCAAGGAUGCUGGCGUAAUGGCCACCGGCGACCCGUCUUGAAACACGGACCAAGGAGUCAAGCAUUGGGGCGAGUGUCUGGGUGCCAAACCCGCACGCGAAAUGAAAGUGAACGCAGGUGAGAGCUUCGGCGCAUCACCGACCGAUCCUGAUGUCCUCGGAUGGAUUUGAGUAAGAGCCUUACCGCUUGGACCCGAAAGAUGGUGAACUAUGCCUGUAUAGGGUGAAGCCAGAGGAAACUCUGGUGGAGGCUCGCAGCGGUUCUGACGUGCAAAUCGAUCGUCAAAUAUGGGCAUGGGGGCGAAAGACUAAUCGAACCAUCUAGUAGCUGGUUACCGCC